GGAAAAUGUUCUCUUUCUGAGAAGCAGCUUAGGAAGCAUAGCAGGAAGAAGAGCAAACAGGCUACUACUCACAGGGUGAGCUGGAAGCCAGACUGGAGACAGUGGAGUUCUGCAUGCCAAAAUCUGCAAAGAUCUGAACUGGAUUGCAUCACUGAAAUCUGGCCUGGUGACCCCGAGGUCUUGUUUAAGCACAACUUGUCUCAGCAAGAUAUACCCAGGGAAAAUGGAUGUGGGGUAUCCAUCAUCUGAACCCAGAUGCAGAAGAGAUCUUUCCACUGCAGAACCAAUUGUUUGCGUACACCAAUCUGAUAUGUACAUCCAGAUACAGGAACAUCAAGAUUUGUGUCCAGGAACAAACUGCCAAUUUAGGAGACUCCCAGGGUUCAUAACCAAUUGAUUUUUGUGUAUGGGUUACUUAAUAUAUAUUAUUGUGAAUGUUUAAUUCAUUUGGACUGCACUAUUGAUGUCUGGUUUAGAUAGUAAACGCCUCAGGCCAGGGGACAAAUCUUCCUGCAUGUUUUGUAUUGUGCUCAAAAUACUUUUGGUGCUGUAGA
Mauremys mutica (yellowpond turtle) is the source of this 554-nucleotide long non-coding RNA. RefSeq lists it as uncharacterized. The record is from RefSeq and is a predicted model, not a curated record. Lineage: Eukaryota; Metazoa; Chordata; Testudines; Geoemydidae. The transcript has 3 exons.